RNAcentral lists this long non-coding RNA (2168 nucleotides) under Fragaria vesca (wild strawberry). RNAcentral describes it as "long non-coding RNA (FVES_LNC003617)". The record is from RNAcentral. Lineage: Eukaryota; Viridiplantae; Streptophyta; Magnoliopsida; Rosales; Rosaceae.
UAAACAUGCCCAUAUACUUUUAACUCUCUCCCAUUAUCUAAAAUUCCAUCCUAGAUUUUGAUAUUUUAUUACGUUGUGUUUGGAUUAAGUAAUUGUAAUGUUCACGAAAAUUUUAAAAUCAUGGGAGUUACAAUUCCAUGAAUCUAAAUUCCAUUAAUUGAUAAUUUUAUUAUUUGGAUUUCAUUAUGUAGAAUUUUAAAAUGACAAAAAUUAGUAUUAAAACUAACCUCAGUUGAGGAAAUUGAUAAAUGACUCAUAUUUUAUAAGGAAUUCAACGAUUAUUUUCCCGUGAAAAUACAAAUUCCAUGAGAUAAGAAUCUAAAUGAUAAAAAGAGUCUAAACCAAUUAAUUAGAAAUUUUUUAUUUUUUAUUAAAUUUGUGAGAAUGCAUUCAAAUCUAAACACACCAUUAGAGUCACGCCUGAUUCAUUCGCAGCCUGAUGGGAGUGAAGGUUUCCUCUUUAGUGGCCCAAUUCUAAAAUAAAUUCAGUUUUUUUUUUUCUUUGAUUGGUGGGUUGAAGUUGAACCAGCGAUUGAACAAACACCCAGCCGCAAUAUUUGAACGAAAUUGUAUUUUUCAAUUAUGGCCGUUUAGAAAUCCAGGCCACACUAUUCUCUCUAUCAUUACUCUAUGUGCACGUUUGGUACCCGGUACUAGGUUAGACCUCCUUAAUUCUUAAGACUGUCAUGCACUAGUGUGGACUGUCUUAAAUUGUACUAAUACUGGGCCACAUUUGGUGUUGCAUGGGAUUAGGAAAAAAAGUUCUAAAUUAGAGAUGUCUCAUGUUUGGUGAUACAUUGGACUAGACUACUCUAAACAUAACAAUCUUAGUCUAACAAUCUAAACAAUCUUGGUCAUCUAACAAUAACAAUCUAACAUCUAACAAGUAACACAGACCAAGUACCUCAAAUAUGGAUAUGCCCUUAACAACUAAUAGAAACACGUGAAAGAAAUAUGCAGAAUCCAAAAGAGACCAAGUACCUCAAAAGAGACCAACAAACACAGACCAAGUACCUCAAAUAUGGAUAUGCCCUUAACAACUAAUAGAAACACGUGAAAGAAAUAUGCAGAAUCCAAAUGAGAGAAAGGAAACCUGUGAAAGAAAACCUUUGUUUGCAGCAGCAAAUCAACACCUCCAAGUUCAUGUCCUGAUUGUUCAGCAGCAGAUCAUCAUAACCUUAAUUUGUUUGCAGCAGCAGAUCAGCACCUCCAAGUUCAUGUCCUGAUGUUUACAGCAGCAGAUCAGCACCUCCAAGUUCAAGCCAAGCAACUACUGCCAGAUUCUACUGAAUCCAACGAUGACAAAGUAGCUUGUUCCCCAUUGAUGAUGAGCAUGCUACAUAAAAAAAAGGAACUAAAAUCACAAUAUAUACUACAUUUAACAAGAGUUUAAACAUGAAUUUAAUUUAUGGCACACCAUUACAAAAUAUAAAUAUGUCACUACAGUCAAUCACACUAUUAUUACUAUGUAUAUCAAACCUAGUUCAUACAGCCUAGUUCAUAUGGUAUAAUCUGUUAAUACAGUAGCAUUGAAUCUGUUAAUACAGCCUAGAUCAUAUGGUAUAAUCUGUUCACAUUUCAUUGGAAGGUUUUACACACAAAAAAAAACAACAAACAAAAAAAAUCAGUUUACCUGUUUAAUCUUGUGCACCUCCAAGUUCAUGUCUUGAAGGUUCAGCAGCAGAUCAGCACCUCCAAUUCAAAUGGUACCUGAAGGUUCAGCAGCAGAUUAUCAUAACUCAAGUAAACUUUGUUUGAGGAAUUUGACAAGAGAUGAGACUCACCUGAGCUCUGAUGAUAGCACUUCUUUUAUCCUGCUCAGCAUUUUCCUACAAAGUUAAAGUUAAAAACCAUGUAAUAUAGAGAGGGAAAAAGCAUAAACAAAACUCACAUUUAAGCUUAAUAUUAUGUGUUCAUUAUACAACAACAAAAACAAGCAACACAAAGGUUCCAAAAUAGUUACAGCCUGCUCUAAACAUACUUGCUCCCUUCAUUAGUUCUUACAUAAGAAGCCACCACAAACAAAAAAAUACAAACAUUUCACUGAUGUUCAGUCACAUGAUCAAAAAAUCAGUAAACCUACUGGUGGCUUUUAGACCAAUCAUUGCCUAUCUAUUGCUCAUAAGCAAGUUCUGAACAUAUACCCUUCUAACAUCAUCAUCCAAUGA